This 253-nucleotide ribosomal RNA is filed under the name uncultured bacterium. RNAcentral describes it as "partial 16S ribosomal RNA". It matches the Rfam family "Bacterial small subunit ribosomal RNA", at positions 524 to 776 of the family's 1533-position model. The record is from RNAcentral.
UACGUAGGGGGCGAGCGUUGUCCGGAAUGAUUGGGCGUAAAGGGCGCGUAGGCGGCUUUGCAAGUCAGUAGUGGAAGUCCAUUUUUCAAGGAUGGAAGUGCUACAGAAACUGCGGAGCUUGAGUGCAGGAGAGGUUAUCGGAAUUCCCGGUGUAGCGGUGAAAUGCGUAGAGAUCGGGAGGAACACCAGUGGCGAAGGCGGGUAACUGGACUGCAACUGACGCUGAGGCGCGAAAGUGUGGGGAGCAAACAGG